GUCCGGGGGAAGCUCACUGCCGAGGCCACCCACGGGGUGCGCGUCACCCGCGCCCCGCCUCGGGGAAGGUCUGAGGGAAGGGCCGCCCGCGGCCCCAGCAGGGCCCCGCCCGCGACGGGCGGGUGAGCCACCAGCAAGGGGGGGCGCGGCGCGGGCCGGCCUGGGCAGGAGAAGCCGCGGCGGCUCCGCUCCCCGCGGGGCCCGGAAUCAGCAUACAUUGUAGUGC
Molecule: ribozyme, 226 nt
Organism: Ficedula albicollis (Collared flycatcher)
Lineage: Eukaryota; Metazoa; Chordata; Aves; Passeriformes; Muscicapidae
Rfam family: Nuclear RNase P
About the family: Ribonuclease P (RNase P) is a ubiquitous endoribonuclease, found in archaea, bacteria and eukarya as well as chloroplasts and mitochondria. Its best characterised activity is the generation of mature 5'-ends of tRNAs by cleaving the 5'-leader elements of precursor-tRNAs.
Source: Ensembl